GGGUGAGAGGGAAGGGACAAUCUAGGUGGGGACGGUGAACGCGAACGCGAGGAGGCGCUGUGGAGACUGAGGAACGGCAUUUGGGCAAAGAGGCGAGGUUAGACUCGGGCGUCGCCCAGCCUUUCCCUAGAGCAGCGGGACAGAACGCGGCCCUGUUUUCCUGGAGGCGUCCUUUGGAGGCCAAAACCGGCUCCCCGGGAGCCCCGCUGCUCAGGAUGUAAACUGUCUUCUGUAUUUAGCGUCUCAUCGUGGCCCAGCACCCUCUUUCGGCAAAUGGAAGCCUUGAGAGGGAUUUUCUCAGGCUAAGUGGCAAGUUGCAACCGGCUGAGGACUCCUGGGGCAGGGAGAAGCUUGGUGGGAGUCUAGAAAGUUCUUACUAGCUAUCAGAAUAUCUGACUAUUCAGUAUGCUAAAUAUUGUGUCCUCUCUGUGUGCUAGGUCAGUGGUUCACAAAGUGUGUGUCUGGACCACCAGCAGCCACAUCACCUAGGAACUUGAUUAGAGAUGCACAUUCUCAGGCCCCAUCCCAGAAUUGCGGAACCAGAAAUUGUAUUCCCUGGGGGCAUGUAGUGCUGGAGACAAACUGAUCAUUCUGUCACAGAAUGUCGGAAGAAUACCUAGCCCACAGUCCAAGACAGGCUUCAUGUCCAGCAUAGAGCCCAACGCAAGGCUUGAACUCACAA
Herpailurus yagouaroundi (jaguarundi) is the source of this 682-nucleotide long non-coding RNA. RefSeq lists it as uncharacterized. NCBI's taxonomy places the organism in Eukaryota, Metazoa, Chordata, Mammalia, Carnivora, Felidae. The record is from RefSeq and is a predicted model, not a curated record. The transcript has 3 exons.